CCCGGCCCGAGUUGUAAUUUGGAGAGGAUGCUUUUGGCGCGGCGCCGUCCGAGUUCCUUGGAACAGGACGCCACAGAGGGUGAGAGCCCCGUACGGACGGACGCCUAACCUAUACAAAGCUCCUUCGACGAGUCGAGUAGUUUGGGAAUGCUGCUCAAAAUGGGAGGUAAAUUUCUUCUAAAGCUAAAUACCGGCCAGAGACCGAUAGCGCACAAGUAGAGUGAUCGAAAGAUGAAAAGCACUUUGAAAAGAGGGUUAAAAAGUACGUGAAAUUGUUGAAAGGGAAGCGCCUGUGACCAGACUUGCGCCCCGCGGACCACCCGGCGUUCUCGCCGGUGCACUCUGCGGGGCGCAGGCCAGCAUCGGUUCUCCUAGGGGGACAAAGGCCGCGGGAACGUAGCUCCCUUCGGGAGUGUUAUAGCCCGCGGCGGCAUGCCCCUGGGGGGACCGAGGACCGCGCUUCGGCAAAGGAUGCUGGCGUAAUGGUCACCAGCGACCCGUCUUGAAACACGGACCAAGGAGUCAAAGCAUUGGGGCGAGUGUAUGGGUGCCAAACCCGCACGCGAAAUGAAAAGUAAACGCAGGUGAGAGCUUCGGCGCAUCAUCGACCGAUCCUGAUGUCUUCGGAUGGAUUUGAGUAAGAGCCUUACCGCUUGGACCCGAAAGAUGGUGAACUAUGCCUGAAUAGGGUGAAGCCAGAGGAAACACUGGUGGGAGGCACGCAGCGGCUCUGACGUGCAAAUCGAUCGUCAAAUUUGGCAUGG
This 764-nucleotide ribosomal RNA is filed under the name Sporothrix chilensis. RNAcentral describes it as "LSU rRNA". It matches the Rfam family "Eukaryotic large subunit ribosomal RNA", at positions 132 to 920 of the family's 3401-position model. Lineage: Eukaryota; Fungi; Ascomycota; Sordariomycetes; Ophiostomatales; Ophiostomataceae. The record is from RNAcentral.